CCGCAACACGGCAGGUGGCUGCAUGGCGGUGUCGGACGACCUGCUGACCGCGCACUACACAGAGGACUACCAGGAGCAGCAGCUGCCCGACAACCCCGAGCGACUACAGUAAAUGGUGAUGAUGGUGCAGCUCCUGUGUGGACAUGCUCUGUUACAACAACACAACACCGAGCCAGAAGACGAAGCCGUAACAUAAGCAGCAGUUGCUGUUGAAUGACCGUGCUGACCUCCAAGCUGAGCUAUGGCAAGGCAGUGAACACAUCAGUGGUUUUGGACCAACCAGCUCUCCAGCUGCAUCACUGAAUCGGUGGAACUGCACAAACUACAAGUCUGCUGUGCCUCAUGCAUACUCCCGGCCGACCACAGUGCAAGAUUUAACUACUUAUAACAAGGGACAACAUGGC
This is a long non-coding RNA of Engraulis encrasicolus (European anchovy), 404 nucleotides long. RefSeq lists it as uncharacterized. The transcript has 4 exons. Lineage: Eukaryota; Metazoa; Chordata; Actinopteri; Clupeiformes; Engraulidae. The record is from RefSeq and is a predicted model, not a curated record.